AGACAGCAGCCGCCGCGGUAAUACGUAGGGUGCGAGCGUUAAUCGGAAUUACUGGGCGUAAAGCGUGCGCAGGCGGUUUUGUAAGACAGAGGUGAAAUCCCCGGGCUCAACCUGGGAACUGCCUUUGUGACUGCAAAGCUGGAGUGCGGCAGAGGGGGAUGGAAUUCCGCGUGUAGCAGUGAAAUGCGUAGAUAUCGUGAGGAAGACCAGUGGCGAAGGCGAUUCUCUGGGCAGUUCCUGACACUGAGGCACGAAGGCCAGGGGAGCAAACGGGAUUAGAUACCCCCGUAGUCCCUGUCUCUUAUAC
RNAcentral lists this ribosomal RNA (307 nucleotides) under uncultured bacterium. Its description in RNAcentral is "partial 16S ribosomal RNA". It matches the Rfam family "Bacterial small subunit ribosomal RNA", at positions 506 to 807 of the family's 1533-position model. The record is from RNAcentral.